RNAcentral lists this long non-coding RNA (199 nucleotides) under Elaeis guineensis (African oil palm). Its description in RNAcentral is "long non-coding RNA (EGUI_LNC044572)". Lineage: Eukaryota; Viridiplantae; Streptophyta; Magnoliopsida; Arecales; Arecaceae. The record is from RNAcentral.
ACUAUUCAUUACUAUUCAUAAUUACUGUUCAUUACUGUAGCUAAUUACUGUAGCAUAUGCACUGUGUAGUACUAUAGUAGAAAUAUUGUGCAGUACUGUUGCGCACUGUAGCAUGAUGGUAAACAACCAGAAUGCUACCGAGGCUGUGAAGUAAACAACAGAUCAGUCUCUUAAGGAUAAACAACCCUAAGAUUGGUAA